GACUUGCAGAUUAGGAAGGCACAGGAUAAAGAGAUCCUGUCAGGGAUAUUAAGGGAGCUCUCCUGCAAAGAUACCAUACAUAAGGUCUGGUCACAGCUUCUCCUUACCAUGAAGCAGCCAGCUCUGGAGAUGUGUUUCCAGCUGAUUGACACUAUCUCAGAGAGGGUGAGGAUAGAGACAAGCUAGAAUGUCUCACCCAAGUGUGUGACCCCUGUGUGCCCUCACUCACAGCUACCCCAUUAACCCUUCUGCCUGGGAUUUAAUUCCAGGAGUGAUUUGUAAUUGUGGAGUGAUUUGUUCUCAAAUAGAGACAUGACUGAUAUAUACAUAGCAGAAUAAACUUGCCCACUAUCAUCACUUUUUCACUCCCCUUAUAUUCAGUUUUCUCUCGUUCCUUCUGUGUUUUGUGCUUAACAUGCCAUCUUUUAUUUUUAAUAUUUGAACAUCUCUGGCAGGUGCUGGAUCUGUUCUUCCUCUCUGGCAGUUGAAGCGUAAGACUUGUUUUGCUUUGGAGGAAAGUGGGAAAAGAAAAUGAAUAAGGUACCACAGGCAGUCACUGAGGAGGAGGGACUGGAGACAGGAAAUUGCCUCCUUUAUCUGUGCCUGAAGCUGGUCCUGAUUCAAGGUGUGAAGGCAGAAGAUGUCAACAUGUGACAG
RNAcentral lists this long non-coding RNA (657 nucleotides) under Ficedula albicollis (Collared flycatcher). RNAcentral describes it as "lncRNA (ENSFALG00000023305.1)". Lineage: Eukaryota; Metazoa; Chordata; Aves; Passeriformes; Muscicapidae. The record is from RNAcentral.